CAAAAGUUCCCUAAUUUUCCAUGCAGAACUUUGACCCACACGGUUAACUAAUAUUCAGCUCAUCGCCAGAUUUUCCCUUUAGGAGGAAAACUAACGUGGUGGUGAAUUCAGUUAUCUCCUUAGUGUAAUCCUAUUUAUUUACGAAGAAUGUACAGCCACGUCCCAUUUCCUUGCACGCAGAGGAAGCAAAUGGGAGGGAAUACGGCGCGGCGGUCCAAGUUUGCUGCUCUCGCCAGGAUGCUUGCCCAGAAGAAGCUGUCCCUUGGCUUUUUCUCAGGGCCAUGCACCACUGCUUCUCCCACUGUCUGCUGGCUCUCUCGUGGUGUUUCCGCUCCCUGACAUGCACGCAGGCAAACACAGCUGCAACCAAUCUGCGCUCUUGCUGCCGCGCUCGCAAGCAGUCCCCGGAGAACUCUGACUUUCCCCAAAUUAGUGCUUGCUCAUACGAAUUAGCUCAUCCCAGUGCCUGGCUGUGCAGUCCUGUGCCCUGGGCAGCGGUUUCUAGUUUGUCGCUAUCUUACGCCAUAAAAGAGCUUAAUUGCUCCUUCCUGAAUGAAGCCUGGCCAGCGUGCCUGUUGGUUUUAAUGAGGUUUGUGAUUGCCUAUAGAUCAAAGCCCUGCCCUGAUGGGUUCUGCUUCCACGGCAUAGAAAGGAAAGGGGAAGUGACCUCCAAAGUAAACAGAACAACUGGGAACAAAAUUAAUUUUCAUACACAAUUUCUGCUGUGACUUGGCGAGUGCCAGAUUAACUGCAUGAAGUAGGAGACUUCCUACAGAAAGUAAACCCUCCCCAGAACACGCUAUAACGAAGAUUUGAAGAGUAAGAGCACAACCUGUUUUUCAUCCGAGACCUUGUCUGUAUCAUCCUCCAAACCACAGGCCUGACCCUGUGAAAAUGCUUCCAUAAAGCUUGUGGCAGUGGAGGAGCAAGUCCCAGUGCUUCGCCCUAGCAAGGCUCUGAUGAAGAGGAAUUGCUGUGCUGAGACUGAUCAGUGAUGUUGUAUUACAUGCUGUAACAUCGGGUGAUAUGAUACAUAGUUCCCCUCUCUCCUGCGAACUUGGUGCCAUCAGGGAACCUUACCAAGACAUAUUUGCAGCCUGUGGAUCUAUUUUGCAGGGCUAAUGAGAGACAGUUUUGUUUUGUGAAUGAAACUUGGAGCAAGGGAACAAAACAAGUCAAUGACCACCCUUCUCUUCCAGCACCAUCUCCAGCACUCCCACGUUUGUGAAAUGGAUGAGACCUGGUCUUCUUUUCCGUUCUUUUUCCUGUUCUUCUAACAUGGUUCCCAGACAAAAUGUCUCUGCUGCUACUGUUCAAGGAAAAAAAAGCUAAAACCCUGCGAGCAACAAGCAUGUUUAGGCAUGCUGAGCAUAAUUUUGCUUCCAGUGUGGGAGGGCCCUAAAUACUUGGCCUCCCCAGUGAAAGAAAUGCACAUUCAAGAAAUUCAGCAGACACUGCAUUAACCCUUAGUUGCCAACCACAGUUAUACAUGUGAAUGCUGGAGCCCAGAACUCCAUUUCCUUGGGGCAGCUGCUUGUGCAUUGUACAAAUUUUGUGAAAUCUUGCUGUUCAAAUAUGCUCUAAAAAGGCUGUCAAGAAAAAAUUACAAAUAUGGUACUAUCUUGCUGGUGUAUCUCACCUCCUCCUCCACAGAAGGCAUACAAAAAAGCUGUAUUUAUUACCAGCUGACAUUCUCUUUUUCCACCUGACCAGCCUUGUCCCCUGAUGGUUUUCCCAGGUGGGGCUCUGUGGCUUUACCACGCACCCCGUGGUGACACCAAGCUGUCACCAGCGCCGGGCUUGGCGCUGGCUCCGGGGGACACCCAGCACCACAGCUGCUGCCGGCUGCGUGAUGCUGACACCAGGAUCUCCAGUAAGAAAGCAGUGGAGUGGGGAAGUGCCAGCGACUGCCCCCCAAAAGCCUUAUUCCCUUUUUGUCUGACAGCUUUGGCAAUGCUGGCAACAUGUGCUCAUUUCCCCAGUGGUCAUUUGGGGCAAGAAAGGAGAUUAUUGGGGCGCAGAGAAGAAAUAGGGUGGGAAGUCAUCUGGAGGUUGUGUCUCUUCCUAAGGUUUUUUUAUAUAUAUAUAUAAUAUAUUAACAUUUGUCAUUUAGCAUUUACUGUAACAAACCCGCAGUGUGCGACAGACAAUAAAAAUCCCACAGUGACUUAAA
Molecule: long non-coding RNA, 2173 nt
Organism: Oxyura jamaicensis (ruddy duck)
Lineage: Eukaryota; Metazoa; Chordata; Aves; Anseriformes; Anatidae
Exons: 2
Source: RefSeq, a predicted model, not a curated record